AAGUCGUAACAAGGUUUCCGUAGGUGAACCUGCGGAAGGAUCAUUAACACGUAUCCAAACGUUAAAACCCCCCCCGUGAACCUUCAUCCUGCUCUUGUAACCCGCGUAGUUCGCAAUCUCUGAUAAAUCAUAGCCCGGAAAGUUGUAGUGAUUCAGAGACCUCUGGCUACGUGCGAACAUUGGAACAGUUACAAUCGAGCGGUAGUUCUAUAGGCAAUGUUUCUCCAAGCAGUCAGUGUCGGAAAGUGUCAUUGAUUGUGCAAGGAUAGCGUACACUCGGCUUUGCCAAAGGGUCCCCAUGCCCCCUAAUAACCCCACAGUUUAAUGUGAAGCUCAAUGUAAUACAUUGGGUAAAAAAACCUAACAACUGUUAACAAUGGAUAUCUUGGUUCUC
This 394-nucleotide unclassified non-coding RNA is filed under the name fungal sp. Its description in RNAcentral is "partial internal transcribed spacer region". The stretch from base 1 to 46 matches the Rfam family "Eukaryotic small subunit ribosomal RNA", at positions 1786 to 1831 of the family's 1831-position model. Lineage: Eukaryota; Fungi. The record is from RNAcentral.